RNAcentral lists this ribosomal RNA (396 nucleotides) under uncultured bacterium. RNAcentral describes it as "partial 16S ribosomal RNA". It matches the Rfam family "Bacterial small subunit ribosomal RNA", at positions 360 to 773 of the family's 1533-position model. The record is from RNAcentral.
AAUAUUGGACAAUGGGCGAAAGCCUGAUCCAGCAAUGCCGCGUGAGUGAUGAAGGCCUUAGGGUUGUAAAGCUCUUUUACCAGGGAUGAUAAUGACAGUACCUGGAGAAUAAGCUCCGGCUAACUCCGUCCCAGCAGCCGCGGUAAUACGGAGGGAGCUAGCGUUGUUCGGAAAUACUGGGCGUAAAGCGCACGUAGGCGGCAUCGUAAGUCAGGGGUGAAAUCCCGGGGCUCAACCCCGGAACUGCCCUUGAAACUGCAGUGCUAGAAUCUUGGAGAGGCGAGUGGAAUUCCGAGUGUAGAGGUGAAAUUCGUAGAUAUUCGGAAGAACACCAGUGGCGAAGGCGACUACCUGGACGAUUACUGACGCUGAUGCACGAAAGCUAGGGGAGCAAAC